ACCACCACACCUCCACCUACAUCCAUCACUCUUCCUCCUGUUCUCUCUGUGCUGUUGCCCAUUGGGUCAGUGUAUGUUGUGGUUCCACUGGUGUUACUGGUUCUGCUGGUGAGACGAUGUGUUCACAGGAAACUUGAAGAUGGAGAAGAUGACAUCACCAGUAGCAUCACAUGCAGUGUUGUGAAAUCAUCCAAUCAUCAACAACCUCCAGUCAAAGAAACCAGAGAGGAAGAGACUGAUUCAGCUGUGAUCUACUCAGCAGUGAGAACUGAAGACGUCCGUUAUGGACAAACAACCAUCAGAACAAGGAG
Molecule: long non-coding RNA, 311 nt
Organism: Pundamilia nyererei
Lineage: Eukaryota; Metazoa; Chordata; Actinopteri; Cichliformes; Cichlidae
Exons: 3
Source: RefSeq, a predicted model, not a curated record